UGCCAGCCGCCGCGGUAAUACGAAGGGUGCGAGCGUUGUUCGGAAUUAUUGGGCGUAAAGCGCGUGUAGGCGGUUCGUUAAGUCUGAUGUGAAAGCCCGGGGCUCAACCCCGGAAGUGCAUUGGAAACUGGCGAGCUUGAGUAUUGGAGGGGGUGGUGGAAUUCCCGGUGUAGAGGUGAAAUUCGUAGAUAUCGGGAGGAAUACCGGUGGCGAAGGCGACAACCUGGACAAAUACUGACGCUGAGGUGCGAAAGCGUGGGGAGCAAACAGGAUUAGAUA
This 279-nucleotide ribosomal RNA is filed under the name uncultured bacterium. RNAcentral describes it as "partial 16S ribosomal RNA". It matches the Rfam family "Bacterial small subunit ribosomal RNA", at positions 506 to 784 of the family's 1533-position model. The record is from RNAcentral.